Molecule: unclassified non-coding RNA, 335 nt
Filed under: soil metagenome
Description: partial contains 5.8S ribosomal RNA, internal transcribed spacer 2, and large subunit ribosomal RNA
Rfam family: 5.8S ribosomal RNA (bases 1-120)
Source: RNAcentral
GAUGAAGAACGCAGCGAAAUGCGAUAAGUAGUGUGAAUUGCAGAAUUCAGUGAAUCAUCGAAUCUUUGAACGCACAUUGCGCCCCUUGGUAUUCCAUGGGGCAUGCCUGUUCGAGCGUCAUUUGUACCUUCAAGCUUUGCUUGGUGUUGGGUGUUUGUCUCGCCUUUGCGUGUAGACUCGCCUUAAAAUAAUUGGCAGCCGGCGUAUUGAUUUCGGAGCGCAGUACAUCUCGCGCUUUGCACUCAUAACGACAGCGUCCAAAAGUACAUUUUACACUCUUGACCUCGGAUCAGGUAGGGAUACCCGCUGAACUUAAGCAUAUCAAUAAGCGGAGA